This 74-nucleotide transfer RNA is filed under the name bacterium. RNAcentral describes it as "tRNA-Ala". It matches the Rfam family "tRNA". Rfam says of the family: Transfer RNA (tRNA) molecules are approximately 80 nucleotides in length. Their secondary structure includes four short double-helical elements and three loops (D, anti-codon, and T loops). Further hydrogen bonds mediate the characteristic L-shaped molecular structure. tRNAs have two regions of fundamental functional importance: the anti-codon, which is responsible for specific mRNA codon recognition, and the 3' end, to which the tRNAs corresponding amino acid is attached (by aminoacyl-tRNA synthetases). tRNAs cope with the degeneracy of the genetic code in two manners: having more than one tRNA (with a specific anti-codon) for a particular amino acid; and 'wobble' base-pairing, i.e. permitting non-standard base-pairing at the 3rd anti-codon position. The record is from RNAcentral.
GGGCCUGUAGUUCAGUGGUAAAACGCCGCAUUCGCAUUGCGGAGGCGGGGGUUCGAUUCCCCCCAGGUCCACCA